Haliotis rubra (blacklip abalone) is the source of this 110-nucleotide long non-coding RNA. RefSeq lists it as uncharacterized. The record is from RefSeq and is a predicted model, not a curated record. The transcript is spliced from 3 exons. Lineage: Eukaryota; Metazoa; Mollusca; Gastropoda; Lepetellida; Haliotidae.
UUCGCCGACCUUGUCGAUCCUUGUUUGUUUAUGUAGAACGCCACUGUGGAGUUGUCCGUAUGUAUCAUUAGAUGAGCAUUUUUAGAAUGCUGGUCCAACGAAGUAUGGCG